UAUUUUCAACAUUUCAAAACAUGUAUUUAUGCAUCUGUAACUGCUCUUGACUGAUUAACUUUAAUAAAGUUUAAUCUAUAGUUAAAUAGUUAGGCUACAUUAGAUUACAAUUUCUGUACCUGAAAAUCUCCUGUUUAAACCGACACACGAAAAGCUCGAAAAGCAAUUGUUCUGUUGUAUUUAUUUGUGCUAUUACUCAUAAUUUGAUUAUUUGUUACUGCUUUAUUACUUUAUUUGUCUAACAAUAUUUAAAAUAGUUAGGCCUAUAUAAAUAUAGAGUUAAUAUAGUAGCUUUUGGUGGCACAUUCCUGUGCGUGACACUUGAGAGCCCUAUUUAAGGUUGCAUGUAUCGAAAACAACAAUAGGCUUAUUUUACAGGCCCAUUUUCUUGGGGCAAGUAAAAAUUUGAACCACUGGCCCGAUAUUACAUUAUAAACACCUUUGAAACAGUCUUAUUUUGUUGUGCCGUAUCGCGAUUCUUCUUUUUUCAUCCCCAAAAUUUAAGACAUUUUAAAAUGACAAUUAAGAAGUUACCAUUUAAGAAUUAAUCAUUUUUAUUCAUUUUUAUUUAUUUAUUUUAAUCAUUUUUAUGUUCUUAAAUUUCCUAAAACCGUGGAUUGUUUCCCUAAUAAUCUACAUUUAUACAUUCGAACAUAUUUUUUAGUGUUAAAUGCAAGUGAAUCACUCUCGAGCACUGGAUGGAGCACUAAAAGAUAUUACCAAGUUUCUCCAUAUUAUAUUUUGUCGUCCAGGAUAAAAGUUCGUUGUCAUCUCACAAGUAGGCUAUCUUCUUACAUUAUCCUUCUUUUCUUGCCUUCCUCCAGGAGUGUGUGCGCGCCAAACGAAAGAAAUUACGUGAGUGGAGAAAAUUUUGAAUUUUGAUUUGACGAAUCUGAUUGGCUUAUUUUGCUGUCCGUUGCUGAGGCAAAUCAAGCGGCUCUGAGGCAAAUCUAUUCUAAUUAAACUGUUCAAAGAUUUAAGACAAGAAAGCUGCCACCAUUGUGUUCAUAAAAUGGAUAAAUAUGUUAAGGACAGAAAUGUUGAGACACAAAGAGGAAUGACCUGCUGGAAUACGAAGCGGUUGGAGUAAAUAAGGCACCAAAAUGAGAGCUUUAUUUGAAUACGCAAACGAGAGCCUUGUGGAAAUAAGAAAGGCAGAGCGUCAGUGGAGAGACACACAAAAUGGCAACUCCUACAAAACCAAAGGGCUUGCUGUGUUGUCAGGUUAUAGUUGACACUGAGGAAGACAGUCACUCUGAUGAGGAGGAUGUAGUCUCAGCCGUCACGCCCACAGACUGUUGGCUGAACAUCUGAUGCAUAUGGCACACUUAACUGAAAACACUUCAGGAGUUUCGAAUUCGUCAUCUGGUUGGUUGAAAUUUACAGGAUGUCCAGAAGACGUGUGUGUCAUGUUCUUUAAUGGUCCGCCUGGAAACUAAUGCCAUGACACCAAACCCCUCGUGGAAGAAGAAAGCUGUCGUGUUUACUAGGAUCAACUUAAUGCUGGAUUUUCAAAAGUAUGUGAAGGUCAUGGUUCCACUGUUGCUGUAAACUUGCACAACAUUCUUGAAUGAAUAAUUUAGUAGAUGCAUGCCGGCCUGUUAUUGUAGAGACAUCAACAAAACGUACUUGUGAUUGGUUGCGUCACAUGUCAGUCAAAUGUCCUCUUGGGCGGUCCUUGACCAAUGAAAGCUGCGAUAGAGUCCAGACAUUCUGCCGUCAGUUUGACAGUCUGGCUAUGCGAGACUAGGAGGAUGGGACUGCUCAUCAUCAAGUGCAGAUAUGCUGUCCAAACACAUGUUCAUCUUGUCUCUUUCUUUUCAGUCACCUUAUAUUUUAAUUAUUUUGAAUAGAAUUUACUGAUAAUUUUUUGUACAUCAUACAUUUAUCAUUGUAGUUUUUACACACAUGAGCUUCAAACUAUUUUGGAAUGUACAUGUGUUAUUAUUCAGUCCCGCUCAUACUCAUCAUCAUUACUAAUGCAAUGGUAAAAAGCACUACAAUAGGUGCAAAACAAAAAGGUUUUCAGAUUUAUCUUUUACUUCAACCAAAAAUCAAAUGUUCUCUAAAAGCACAUGAUCUUAAGAUGUUCCCACCAUAGUACUUUGGCCGUCUCCACCCACACCUGGCUGCUGACUCUCCCAGUCAUCCACAGUGAUCCACUCAGAGUUCUCUGUGGCCUGUCUAGCCAUCCCCAGCCGAUGACAAUCUUCAAUCAGACCUUUCUUUUUACAGCUAUCUCCAACUGGAGAGAUUAUUCCUUUAAGCGAAGCAAAAAGGUUGUGUCAGAUUUAUCUUUUACUUCAACCAAAAAUCAAAUGUUCUCUAAAAGCACAUGAUCUUAAGAUGUUCCCAUCGUAGUACUUUGGCUGUCUCCACCCACUCCGGCUGCUGACUCUCCCAGUCAUCCACAGUGAUCCACUCAGAGUUUUCUGUGGUCAGUCUAGCCAUCUCAAACCAAUGACAAUCUUCAAUCAGACCUUUCUUUUUUCUAACUAUCUCCAACUGGAGAGAUUAUUCCUUUCACCACUAUGUAUCUUCCUGAUUCAACAAAGAAAUACAAAAAUAUGAAGUUAUAUGUGUUAAAUAUGUAUAAUUAUCAAAAAAAAAAAAAAAAAAAAAAGACUGGUAACAAAAACAUUGUUUUUUUUUUUUUUAUAUUUAUAUAUAAAUAUAUAAUUUUUUCAUUUAAAAUUUACCAGCCAGUUCAAACAUACGCUUGUUUGUGAUGGGGUUGAAGGACCUGCAUGCCAGCAGCACCACUUUGGUCUUCUUUCAUGCUGUCACUCAUUACGUCUCAUGCAAGGGUAAUAUAUUUAUAUUAUUAAGAACUUUGUCUGUCUUGCUGUUUGUUUAGAGCAGUAUUUAAAGGUGAUAGAGAGGAUUUUUUCGUUGACUGAGAAUCCAAAGACUGUUACUGAGUUUUUGAAAUGAGCGCAUGCGUAAGAACGCCCCCCUCCUUCAC
This is a long non-coding RNA of Megalobrama amblycephala (Wuchang bream), 2965 nucleotides long. RefSeq lists it as uncharacterized. The record is from RefSeq and is a predicted model, not a curated record. Lineage: Eukaryota; Metazoa; Chordata; Actinopteri; Cypriniformes; Xenocyprididae. The transcript has 3 exons.